Molecule: transfer RNA, 56 nt
Filed under: Aelurostrongylus abstrusus (cat lungworm)
Lineage: Eukaryota; Metazoa; Nematoda; Chromadorea; Rhabditida; Metastrongylidae
Description: tRNA-His
Source: RNAcentral
AGCUUUUUAGUUUAAUGAUGAAUAUUUGUUUGUGGGGCAAAGGGAUUUAUGGGCUU